This 314-nucleotide long non-coding RNA is filed under the name Lactuca sativa (garden lettuce). RNAcentral describes it as "long non-coding RNA (LSAT_LNC010003)". The record is from RNAcentral. Lineage: Eukaryota; Viridiplantae; Streptophyta; Magnoliopsida; Asterales; Asteraceae.
UCCACCACAGUCAUUACAUACAACGACCUUCCGUUUCUCCGUCCAACAAUGGCAGCCUUCACAAACCUUAUGAUCAAUCCCCCUCAAAAUCUGUACUUCACAACCAAACUCAAUACUUUCUCUUGGGGUUACAACCCUAAACUCCAAUCGUUCUUCCCCACCAAACCCAAAAUUUCCCUACAACCAAUAUCCAUGAUAAAAGCCGCUGCUACCACAUCCAACGUAGAAAAAGACAGCGCCGGUGGUGGAGCUGCCAAAACCAAGGAAGAAGACAAAGUACAGCACAUCCACACAGUGGAGGAGUUCGAGACGGC